RNAcentral lists this unclassified non-coding RNA (345 nucleotides) under soil metagenome. RNAcentral describes it as "partial contains 5.8S ribosomal RNA, internal transcribed spacer 2, and large subunit ribosomal RNA". The stretch from base 1 to 120 matches the Rfam family "5.8S ribosomal RNA", at positions 35 to 154 of the family's 154-position model. The record is from RNAcentral.
GAUGAAGAACGCAGUGAAAUGCGAUACGUAAUGUGAAUUGCAGAAUUCAGUGAAUCAUCGAGUCUUUGAACGCACAUUGCGCCCCCUGGUAUUCCGGGGGGCAUGCCUGUCCGAGCGUCAUUGCUGCCCUCAAGCACGGCUUGUGUGUUGGGCCUCCGUCCUCCUCCCGGGGGACGGGCCCGAAAGGCAGCGGCGGCACCGCGUCCGGUCCUCGAGCGUAUGGGGCUUCGUCACCCGCUCUUGUAGGCCCGGCCGGCGCUUGCCGACACAUCAAUCUUUUUUCCAGGUUGAUCUCGGAUCAGGUAGGGAUACCCGCUGAACUUAAGCAUAUCAAUAAGCGGAGGA